RNAcentral lists this ribosomal RNA (1552 nucleotides) under Escherichia coli. Its description in RNAcentral is "bacterial SSU rRNA". It matches the Rfam family "Bacterial small subunit ribosomal RNA". The record is from RNAcentral. Lineage: Bacteria; Pseudomonadati; Pseudomonadota; Gammaproteobacteria; Enterobacterales; Enterobacteriaceae.
AAAUUGAAGAGUUUGAUCAUGGCUCAGAUUGAACGCUGGCGGCAGGCCUAACACAUGCAAGUCGAACGGUAACAGGAAGAAGCUUGCUUCUUUGCUGACGAGUGGCGGACGGGUGAGUAAUGUCUGGGAAACUGCCUGAUGGAGGGGGAUAACUACUGGAAACGGUAGCUAAUACCGCAUAACGUCGCAAGACCAAAGAGGGGGACCUUCGGGCCUCUUGCCAUCGGAUGUGCCCAGAUGGGAUUAGCUUGUUGGUGGGGUAACGGCUCACCAAGGCGACGAUCCCUAGCUGGUCUGAGAGGAUGACCAGCCACACUGGAACUGAGACACGGUCCAGACUCCUACGGGAGGCAGCAGUGGGGAAUAUUGCACAAUGGGCGCAAGCCUGAUGCAGCCAUGCCGCGUGUAUGAAGAAGGCCUUCGGGUUGUAAAGUACUUUCAGCGGGGAGGAAGGGAGUAAAGUUAAUACCUUUGCUCAUUGACGUUACCCGCAGAAGAAGCACCGGCUAACUCCGUGCCAGCAGCCGCGGUAAUACGGAGGGUGCAAGCGUUAAUCGGAAUUACUGGGCGUAAAGCGCACGCAGGCGGUUUGUUAAGUCAGAUGUGAAAUCCCCGGGCUCAACCUGGGAACUGCAUCUGAUACUGGCAAGCUUGAGUCUCGUAGAGGGGGGUAGAAUUCCAGGUGUAGCGGUGAAAUGCGUAGAGAUCUGGAGGAAUACCGGUGGCGAAGGCGGCCCCCUGGACGAAGACUGACGCUCAGGUGCGAAAGCGUGGGGAGCAAACAGGAUUAGAUACCCUGGUAGUCCACGCCGUAAACGAUGUCGACUUGGAGGUUGUGCCCUUGAGGCGUGGCUUCCGGAGCUAACGCGUUAAGUCGACCGCCUGGGGAGUACGGCCGCAAGGUUAAAACUCAAAUGAAUUGACGGGGGCCCGCACAAGCGGUGGAGCAUGUGGUUUAAUUCGAUGCAACGCGAAGAACCUUACCUGGUCUUGACAUCCACGGAAGUUUUCAGAGAUGAGAAUGUGCCUUCGGGAACCGUGAGACAGGUGCUGCAUGGCUGUCGUCAGCUCGUGUUGUGAAAUGUUGGGUUAAGUCCCGCAACGAGCGCAACCCUUAUCCUUUGUUGCCAGCGGUCCGGCCGGGAACUCAAAGGAGACUGCCAGUGAUAAACUGGAGGAAGGUGGGGAUGACGUCAAGUCAUCAUGGCCCUUACGACCAGGGCUACACACGUGCUACAAUGGCGCAUACAAAGAGAAGCGACCUCGCGAGAGCAAGCGGACCUCAUAAAGUGCGUCGUAGUCCGGAUUGGAGUCUGCAACUCGACUCCAUGAAGUCGGAAUCGCUAGUAAUCGUGGAUCAGAAUGCCACGGUGAAUACGUUCCCGGGCCUUGUACACACCGCCCGUCACACCAUGGGAGUGGGUUGCAAAAGAAGUAGGUAGCUUAACCUUCGGGAGGGCGCUUACCACUUUGUGAUUCAUGACUGGGGUGAAGUCGUAACAAGGUAACCGUAGGGGAACCUGCGGUUGGAUCACCUCCUUACCUUAAAGAA